AUGGGCUCUAGUGCCAUUAUGCACUUUGGCCCGUCUAACAACUUUGGCCCAGCCCAACCCCCACACCCGCGGUCGAUCCCCUCCCCUCACUGUGCCUCCGACCCGUCGCUACAGGGGCAAGACCCCGCCGGAUCACCUCGCCGCGCGGCGCCCCGAGGGGAUAAGGCCGAGCCCCCUCGGCCUCCUCAGGAUCCACCACCCCCCUCCCCCGCGCAGAUAUUUCCCUCUCUCCCUCGGUCACUCCCUCUCCCCAGAUCCCUUUCUCCCUCGCCCCAUCAAGCGCGUUCGCCGUCGGCCACCUCGCCUCGACGUGGCCACCGCCCUCCCUGCGCCAAGCCGACGUGCCCACGAGCUCCACCUCGUCCUCCGCUCCUUCUCCGUCGAACCACGGGACCCAAAGCGCUCCACAACGCCGACGACAGCAUCAUCUUCCACCUUCGGACGCGUCGGAGCUCGCCGUCGACCCACGCCGCCCCGAGCACCUCGAGUCGUCCCCGGGCCUUUUCUGCAACGGCCGUGAGCCCUCGAUCCUCCUCCCUCUCUCCCCGGCCUCUCCUCGUAGCCGUAGCUCGCCCCCGACGCACUCGCGCUUCCGCCGCUGUGGUCGAGCUCGCCGGCAUGGCCCCUGUGGCCGCAGCCCGCACCCGAGCCCGCUUGCGUGCUCCGUACCUCCGGCCGCACCCAACGCACGCGCUCGCUCACCCCCACUACCCCGGUCCGUCCCGACGCGCCGCGUCCACCCCUGCGCCCGCCGUGCGUGUGUCCCGCUGCUGCUGCUCUGGUGGCCUACUACUGCUGCUAGUGCCGCCCCUCGCGCCGCGUGCGCCUGCUGCCGCGGACACCGCCGCUUGCCGCUAUUGCCCACGGCCACUGCCGCAGCCCCACGACACUGCUGCCCCCUGCAGGUCGCCACGUCUCGCUGCAGUCGCCGCCUCGCCUGCCCCUGGCCGCGCGGACGUUGCUCUCUUCUGCUGGCCCAUCCGUGCGCACGCUUGCGCAGGCCCGCGCGUGCAGGCCAUGCCCCACACCCACGCCGCUGGCUCGCCGGCCAUGCCCGGGGCAUGCCCUGCUGCUUCUUGCUGCCCGUCGCCUUGCCGUAGCUCCCCGCCCGUGACCUGCCUAGCGUCGUUGUUGUCUGCUGCUCUGCUAGUGCUUGCCGCUGCUAUUUUCUGCUAG
This 1176-nucleotide ribosomal RNA is filed under the name Triticum aestivum (bread wheat). RNAcentral describes it as "partial small subunit ribosomal RNA". Lineage: Eukaryota; Viridiplantae; Streptophyta; Magnoliopsida; Poales; Poaceae. The record is from RNAcentral.